Molecule: unclassified non-coding RNA, 289 nt
Filed under: Hevea brasiliensis (rubber tree)
Lineage: Eukaryota; Viridiplantae; Streptophyta; Magnoliopsida; Malpighiales; Euphorbiaceae
Source: RNAcentral
CCACCACCACCGUACUACGACCCGUCUAUUUCCAGUGAUUCCAAGGGCAACAAACUAAAGCCGGAUAGAGGCUUCGAUUGGGACGCUAGCGGUGAUCACAAAGUAAAUCAGCAAGCGAAUAGUAAUAGGAUUGGUAAUUUGAAUUUGUACUCGUCGAUCGGAUUGCAAAGGCAAUCAAGCGGGAGUAGUUUCGGUGAGAGUUCGUUGUCUGGAGAGUGUUAUGCGCCGACGCUGUCAACGGCUGGGGGGAAUGAGAUUGAGGCUUAUGGAAACAUGCAUGAGGAUGGGG